RNAcentral lists this ribosomal RNA (500 nucleotides) under uncultured microorganism. Its description in RNAcentral is "bacterial SSU rRNA". It matches the Rfam family "Archaeal small subunit ribosomal RNA", at positions 234 to 734 of the family's 1478-position model. The record is from RNAcentral.
AGUGGGUGUAGCGUACCUACUAGCCUACGACGGGUACGGGUUGUGAGAGCAAGAGCCCGGAGAUGGAUUCUGAGACACGAAUCCAGGCCCUACGGGGUGCAGCAGGCGCGAAAACUUUACAAUGCUGGCAACAGCGAUAAGGGAACCUCGAGUGCCAGGUUACAAAUCUGGCUGUCGAGAUGCCUAAAAAGCAUUUCAUAGCAAGGGCCGGGCAAGACCGGUGCCAGCCGCCGCGGUAACACCGGCGGCUCGGGUGGUAACCGUUAUUAUUGGGUCUAAAGGGUCUGUAGCCGGCCGGAUAAGUCUCUUGAGAAAUCUGGCAGCUUAACUGUCAGGCUUUCAGGAGAUACUGUCUGGCUCGAGGCCGGGAGAGGUGAGAGGUACUUCAGGGGUAGGGGUGAAAUCUUGUAAUCCUUGAAGGACCACCAGUGGCGAAGGCGUCUCACCAGAACGGACCUGACGGCAAGGGACGAAAGCUAGGGGCACGAACCGGAUUAGAU